AAAUUGAAGAGUUUGAUCAUGGCUCAGAUUGAACGCUGGCGGCAGGCCUAACACAUGCAAGUCGAACGGUAACAGGAAGCAGCUUGCUGCUUUGCUGACGAGUGGCGGACGGGUGAGUAAUGUCUGGGAAACUGCCUGAUGGAGGGGGAUAACUACUGGAAACGGUAGCUAAUACCGCAUAACGUCGCAAGACCAAAGAGGGGGACCUUCGGGCCUCUUGCCAUCGGAUGUGCCCAGAUGGGAUUAGCUUGUUGGUGGGGUAACGGCUCACCAAGGCGACGAUCCCUAGCUGGUCUGAGAGGAUGACCAGCCACACUGGAACUGAGACACGGUCCAGACUCCUACGGGAGGCAGCAGUGGGGAAUAUUGCACAAUGGGCGCAAGCCUGAUGCAGCCAUGCCGCGUGUAUGAAGAAGGCCUUCGGGUUGUAAAGUACUUUCAGCGGGGAGGAAGGGAGUAAAGUUAAUACCUUUACUCAUUGACGUUACCCGCAGAAGAAGCACCGGCUAACUCCGUGCCAGCAGCCGCGGUAAUACGGAGGGUGCAAGCGUUAAUCGGAAUUACUGGGCGUAAAGCGCACGCAGGCGGUUUGUUAAGUCAGAUGUGAAAUCCCCGGGCUCAACCUGGGAACUGCAUCUGAUACUGGCAAGCUUGAGUCUCGUAGAGGGGGGUAGAAUUCCAGGUGUAGCGGUGAAAUGCGUAGAGAUCUGGAGGAAUACCGGUGGCGAAGGCGGCCCCCUGGACGAAGACUGACGCUCAGGUGCGAAAGCGUGGGGAGCAAACAGGAUUAGAUACCCUGGUAGUCCACGCCGUAAACGAUGUCGACUUGGAGGUUGUGCCCUUGAGGCGUGGCUUCCGGAGCUAACGCGUUAAGUCGACCGCCUGGGGAGUACGGCCGCAAGGUUAAAACUCAAAUGAAUUGACGGGGGCCCGCACAAGCGGUGGAGCAUGUGGUUUAAUUCGAUGCAACGCGAAGAACCUUACCUGGUCUUGACAUCCACAGAACUUUCCAGAGAUGAGAUUGUGCCUUCGGGAACUGUGAGACAGGUGCUGCAUGGCUGUCGUCAGCUCGUGUUGUGAAAUGUUGGGUUAAGUCCCGCAACGAGCGCAACCCUUAUCCUUUGUUGCCAGCGGUCCGGCCGGGAACUCAAAGGAGACUGCCAGUGAUAAACUGGAGGAAGGUGGGGAUGACGUCAAGUCAUCAUGGCCCUUACGACCAGGGCUACACACGUGCUACAAUGGCGCAUACAAAGAGAAGCGACCUCGCGAGAGCAAGCGGACCUCAUAAAGUGCGUCGUAGUCCGGAUUGGAGUCUGCAACUCGACUCCAUGAAGUCGGAAUCGCUAGUAAUCGUGGAUCAGAAUGCCACGGUGAAUACGUUCCCGGGCCUUGUACACACCGCCCGUCACACCAUGGGAGUGGGUUGCAAAAGAAGUAGGUAGCUUAACCUUCGGGAGGGCGCUUACCACUUUGUGAUUCAUGACUGGGGUGAAGUCGUAACAAGGUAACCGUAGGGGAACCUGCGGUUGGAUCACCUCCUUACCUUAAAGAAGC
This 1554-nucleotide ribosomal RNA is filed under the name Escherichia coli. RNAcentral describes it as "bacterial SSU rRNA". It matches the Rfam family "Bacterial small subunit ribosomal RNA". Lineage: Bacteria; Pseudomonadati; Pseudomonadota; Gammaproteobacteria; Enterobacterales; Enterobacteriaceae. The record is from RNAcentral.